AACGAACGCUGGCGGCAGGCCUAACACAUGCAAGUCGAGCGCGCCUUUCGGGGUGAGCGGCGGACGGGUUAGUAACGCGUGGGAAUAUGCCCUUUGGUACGGAAUAGCCUCUGGAAACGGAGAGUAAUACCGUAUGAGCCCCCCGGGUCAAACUGGGGGGGAAAGAUUUAUCGCCAAAGGAUUAGCCCGCGUUAGAUUAGGUAGUUGGUGGGGUAAUGGCCUACCAAGCCUACGAUCUAUAGCUGGUUUUAGAGGAUGAUCAGCAACACUGGGACUGAGACACGGCCCAGACUCCUACGGGAGGCAGCAGUGGGGAAUCUUGGACAAUGGGGCAACCCUGAUCCAGCCAUGCCGCGUGAGUGAAGAAGGCCCUAGGGUCGUAAAGCUCUUUCGCCUGUGAAGAUAAUGACGGUAGCAGGUAAAGAAACCCCGGCUAACUCCGUGCC
This 446-nucleotide ribosomal RNA is filed under the name uncultured bacterium. RNAcentral describes it as "bacterial SSU rRNA". It matches the Rfam family "Bacterial small subunit ribosomal RNA", at positions 29 to 509 of the family's 1533-position model. The record is from RNAcentral.